GCAUGCAGACAUUCCCAGGUCAGGGAUUGAACCCACACCACAGCAGCAACACUAGGUGCUUAACCCACUGAGCCACAUGGGAACUCCUAUAGAUGGUUUUUAUUAUAUCAACUUACAAAUAAUGAAAAUGAAGCUCAGAGGUUAUAUUAAUUUCCCAAACUUCUGAAGCUGGCAAGAUACACAGGUAAUUGUGUCUUUUUAAGAUGUUAAAAAGAUUGUGUUCCACGCUGUGCAAUAUUAUGCAGCUGUUUAAAAUAAUAUUUAUAAAGAGCUUUGAUAUAAACUUAAGUAAAAAAAAGAAUGUGAAAUAGUUAUGAUUUAAAAUAUGUUAAUAAAAAUGCAAAGGAAAAGUACCAGGAGGGAUUUAUUACCCAUUAUUAACAGAGUUAUUCUGAGUGAUGGGGUUUGAGUGAUUGCUUUCUGGUCUUUGAUGAUCUUCCUAUACGUCUCAAUUUUUUUUUUCUGCAAGCUUGCAUUAUUUGUACAGGGGAGAAACGUUUAAAAUGUCAGCUAGAUGUGGCUGUGCCUUUUCCUUCUUUUUUCGUCUAAAAGCAGUCUGGAGGUUAUAGUAAAGAGUCGUGCUGCCACCCGUGAGGGAGAUGUGUGGGUUGCUGAAUCCAUAUUCUUAACCAUUACUGAGCUAACUAACCAAGGCUCAUGCCCUAAGGAUGGUAGAUUGUCCAGGAUGUGGAGCUAGUUCCUUGUUCACCCUUGCCAACCAUUAAAGGUUUUUCGUCUAUACUUUCUGUGUAUGUGUGUGUCUGCAGCUAUGGUCUGUGUGUGUACAUAGAGAUAGAUUAUCUAUAGAUAAUAUAUAUCAUAACAUACAAUGUGCAUAGUGUAUACACAUAUACAUACUGUAUAUAUACUAUGUAUGUAUAUUGUCAUUUUUGGUAACUUGUUGAGUGCUUAAUAUGUAUCAGGCAAUGCACUAAACUCUCUUUGAAAUCACCAGUGCCGCUGUCUGACCUCACUGACUUUUCAAAAUCUUUUUAAAGUCUCUUUCUUUGUUCUUUUUUCUUUCCUUCCUUCCUCCCUCUGUCUUUGUUUCUUUCUUUCUUUCUCCUGUCUGCCUGCCUUUCAUUCAACCAGUAAAAUUCUCUCAUACCAAAACUUCUACUCACAAAUUGUAUCACUGGGCUAAGACAUGACUUGAGAAAAUUCUGUCAGAUAAAGGGCUCUUUAAAGGAAAAAAAAAAAAAAAAACCACUGACUAAAAUAAGAAUUAGAAGAGAAAUGUCCUGUGAACGUGAUCUGUCGGAUUUCAGCACCAUCACAAAAAUAUAUUAUUUAAGUAGGAUCCCUUUUUUUCCCCUGCUUUUCCCCAGUAAAAUUAUCAUAGCCUUUCACGGAGCACUUCAGAGGCCGUUAACUUCUCCCUCAUUUACACACAGCUUCUCUCUCAUUCCGUCAUAUUUUGCAUCACUUAACCCAGUGGAGUGUUUUCAGACAAAGGCUGUCUCAAAGCUGGGGCCCACUUUGUGACUCUGUGGCAUUCAUGGUCAGUAUUGUUUUUGAGGACCAUCUGCCUGUCAUUUGUUUGCUGAUUGAGUUAGUGCACCUAAUAAUAUUUUUUUUAUUGGGCUGUGCUAGCCAAUGAAAAGGAAAUUAUACACUCAACAGAUGGGUCACAAACCUUUCUGCCUUAGUGCAGCUCCUCCUUGAGUUAGUUAAAAGCCGUCAUGAAAGCAGAUUAUAAAUGGAAUAAUAGCCUUUUUAGAAAUGGUUUUCGCCGUGGAUACUAGUUGUGGUGCCAAGCAUAAUGGCAUUAGGGUGUCCCCUCUUUGUUGGACGGAUUCUCCCCGUAAGAACCGUCUGAGCAAGAGGGAUGCGGAAGCAAUGAGAAGAAACCAGCUGGGCAUCAUGAGGACCAGAGUCAGGAGACCAUAUAUGUAGGAGUAGCUGGCAUCACAUUAGCUCCACGUCACUUGUGUCAUUGGGAGACGAAAUGCAGCGUGUGCCCCAAGAAGGGCUGGGUGGUCCCCCUCUACCUUUAUCUGGAGGGCUGAGAAGGCAGAGGCAGCAACAUCUAUCACAAAAGAAACCCCAAAUAGCCUUACUUUAUGCAGGUAGAAAAAUGGAGAAACUGAGGGUCCUGGCCAUCAUGGAAAUGAACAGCAAACCCAGACAAAUCUCCUUGGCUUGACAAUGAUCCCCUCAGACAUCUGCUCCCUCCUAAAACCCAUAACUUCUGUCCUUUGAAACUGUUCCUCAGGACCCUAUGUCAAGAAAAUUCACUUUGUCUUAAAGAGGACAUGACUUCCCUGGCCAGGAUGCUAAGUCAGCUGAAGGCAGGUUCAAAGAGCAUGAGAACAAAUCUCCUCUGGAAAAAUCCUGAUGCGAAGGAUUAUUCUAUUUGCCUCUAAACAAUGAAGUUGCAUCUCCCACUGGGAACAUAAACUACAGAGACAGACUUUUCAGUGUUGCAGGGGUAGACUUCAUCCUUGAACUCCUAUAAUACGUGAGAAGGUAGGUAUUAUAAAGACUUGGCUUAUUCUCCAGGAGAAACAAAAAGAUUCUGCUUUCACGAGUCAAAAAUACAAAACAAACAAACAAAAACUGGACAGCACAGUAACUGCUUUGUGAAUCAUGCUUCUAACUGUGUAUAUGAAUUAUCAGCUCAUUAUUUUUCCCCCUAUGGUCUUUGGCCCUUGCCUCAUCUAACUUCAAACCUCCAGUGAAUUCUCAGCAGUAUACUUGCUUUGAUUUUGGUAUAAGGACGCCAUAUGCAUUGCCGAGGGUGGUGGGCUGGAAGCAAUUGCAGUGCACAUAUGGAUGGGGGGAGAUUUGGGGCAGAUGGGCUCACUGGGCCCAUGAACAGGAAGAAGGAAGACCAGGUGUUGCUAAGAACCUUCCAUCAUUCAAAAUCAAUGGGCUUUUACAUUUUUCCAAUGGAUGAACAUCAACCCAAUAUUUUGAUACUACUCCCUAUGUCUAGCAUUCUGAAGCUGUAAGUGAUUUUCCAGAGCUUGUCUGGUACUGAAGCUUUUCAGAGAUUUUCUUUCUUCCUUGAGGGAUGCUGAGGAAUUCUGGGAAGAGAGCCCUGCGAUGGGCAACCUGGGAGGUGGAGAAGGAGUGAGUGGUGAGGGUCAGUUUCCUGUGAUUCUCAGUCAUUCUCAUUCUCUGCAUCAGAGAGGUCCCAGUGUAAGCCGAUGCUUUCCUGGAUGCACUGUCACUGGAAGAGGUACAGCCCCUGACAUUAACCCCAGGAGGGUCCCUCCUGCCUUCUGUAUAUUGUCCUGCAACCCACAGGUGCUUGAAUUCUCAUACCGGAGGUUGGUCCUCUAGUCAGUUUUGUCUUGUGUUGAAAUGCAUUGUUCUGGGAGUUCUUUCACCUGUAACCUCUUCACUCCUUUGUGCUUAGAUGUGAAUGACUUUGAGACAUGCUUUUGAAUUUUAUGAGGGGCAGGUACGACUUCAGGAGAGCCUGGAAGCUUAAGAAAAUGGGAGCUAGCCCUAGGAAGGGGAGUGAGCAAUGGCCCAGGAAUGAGAGGAUGCUGACUGAGCAGCCAACUUUAAAGAUGUUCUCCCCUUCUCCUCAGGACCUAAAAGGGACUUUAAAUCCAGUUCGUCUUUGGGACCCGUUGGCAGGUUAGCCCAAAGGAACAUUUCGACUAUGAUUACUUAAAAUCCCCAAGGCUCUCUGGAUGCAGUUAGGACUUUCUUCAGAUCAGCUGCCUUCUGACAUCUUUACACUGGCAGGGACUCAGGGACAGAGGUGUCCAGAAAGACAACCAAACAUGGCAAAUGCCCCACCCUUUCUGGUUUCUCCCCCACAUGCCCCAUGGGCAGCAGGAUCCCGCCUGCUGCCUCCCCUCAGAGAUGCUCAGCAGGACCCCACUGUGCGCCACUGCAUCACAAGUCGGGAACCUGCUUCCCUCUCCAUCUCCCUCCCAGCUCUCCUUUUCAGCUGGAUGUUGCAAGGAUUUAAUUCUGAGCAGGAUUUAAAUAAAAUCAGAAUCCGUCUGUGCCGGAGGAGAUGUGCUUGCUCGGAAAUGGAAUUCGUCAUCUGGGUCAUUUGCUCGUUAGCUCCACAUCCUGCCAGUGCUGGGACCCAAGGAAAAGACACGCUAACCCUAUUUCGUACCAUUCCUGCACUUUCCAGGGUGAGACGCCGGGGAACUGUCUCAGCUCCUCUCUCCUCCCCAAAUUCGAUUCCUGACUUCAGUGCUUUUUGAUCUUGAAACAUCUCCACACUUUAGGGGGAAAAGUGUUUCAAGCUUACAUAAAAAUUAACAAUGGCCCCUGUUUUAGGCAGGGCAUUUUUGCUUGUAAGGAACCAUGUUCCACAUACAAAAGCUUAAGGAAAGGGAGGAUUUAUUAAAAGGAUCUCAGGGAAUGUUCCCGAUGCCACAGCAGGGCUCAGGAGAGGUGGAGACCAUCAGGCAGCCUGUCGUCUUCUGCCUCUCUCUGCCACGUCAGUUCUCCUUUCAUCUCUGCAAACCUUCCCCUUGUCGUCUCAUACUCUUCUUUCCCAUGAUUUACGGUAUGCAUUACCUUGGCUUUUUUUUUUUUUAAACCCACACAUUCUGACGCACCCUGACUCUGUCCUUGACUCAGCUUAGUGUCUGGUUUCUGUCAGGUACUUAGUACCUACCUUUGGACUAAGUGAAGAAAUGAACAAAGGAAGGAGUGACUCUGCUGGGCCUUUCAGUGUAAAGGCCCAUCAUUGCCUAACUAGGUUUUGAGUGGCACAGUUCAGAAUCCGACCAGAGAGGAUCUGAGGUGUUCCGUUUGUCACAUAAGAUAGGGGUUCACUCCUGGUCCAAUUAUCUAUGGCCAAGAAGCAUGAUUACUUAGUACAAACAUGACUGCUCGCCGGGACCAUGGAUGAAACCAUUUCCCAAAAAAGGACGGCAGGUUCUGCAAAUGUGUUUCCUGGAGCCACCAAACCAGCAUUCUUUCCUGAAAACUGUGCCCAGUGGUGUCUGUGUUUACUCAAAACGUGGCAGUCUCUUGGAGUUCCCGUCGUGGGGCAGUGGAAACGAAUCUAACUAGGAACCAUGAAGUUCGAUCUCUGGCCUUGCUCAGUGGGUUAAGCAUCUGGCAUUGCUGUGAGCUGUGGUGGAGGUUGCAGACACAGCUCGGAUCUGGCGGUGCUGUGGUUGUGGCGUGGGCUGGCAGCUGUAGUUCCAAUUCAACCCCUAGCCUGGAAACCUCCAUAUGCCAC
Molecule: long non-coding RNA, 5170 nt
Filed under: Sus scrofa (pig)
Lineage: Eukaryota; Metazoa; Chordata; Mammalia; Artiodactyla; Suidae
Description: lncRNA (ENSSSCG00000052709.1)
Source: RNAcentral